Molecule: ribosomal RNA, 1010 nt
Filed under: Hamigera terricola
Lineage: Eukaryota; Fungi; Ascomycota; Eurotiomycetes; Eurotiales; Aspergillaceae
Description: SSU rRNA
Rfam family: Eukaryotic small subunit ribosomal RNA
Source: RNAcentral
AACUGCGAAUGGCUCAUUAAAUCAGUUAUCGUUUAUUUGAUAGUACCUUACUACAUGGAUACCUGUGGUAAUUCUAGAGCUAAUACAUGCUGAAAACCCCGACUUCGGAAGGGGUGUAUUUAUUAGAUAAAAAACCAACGCCCUUCGGGGCUCCUUGGUGAUUCAUAAUAACUUAACGAAUCGCAUGGCCUUGCGCCGGCGAUGGUUCAUUCAAAUUUCUGCCCUAUCAACUUUCGAUGGUAGGAUAGUGGCCUACCAUGGUGGCAACGGGUAACGGGGAAUUAGGGUUCGAUUCCGGAGAGGGAGCCUGAGAAACGGCUACCACAUCCAAGGAAGGCAGCAGGCGCGCAAAUUACCCAAUCCCGAUACGGGGAGGUAGUGACAAUAAAUACUGAUACGGGGCUCUUUUGGGUCUCGUAAUUGGAAUGAGUACAAUCUAAAUCCCUUAACGAGGAACAAUUGGAGGGCAAGUCUGGUGCCAGCAGCCGCGGUAAUUCCAGCUCCAAUAGCGUAUAUUAAAGUUGUUGCAGUUAAAAAGCUCGUAGUUGAACCUUGGGUCUGGCUGGCCGGUCCGCCUCACCGCGAGUACUGGUCCGGCUGGACCUUUCCUUCUGGGGAACCCCAUGGCCUUCACUGGCCGUGGGGGGAACCAGGACUUUUACUGUGAAAAAAUUAGAGUGUUCAAAGCAGGCCUUUGCUCGAAUACAUUAGCAUGGAAUAAUAGAAUAGGACGUGCGGUUCUAUUUUGUUGGUUUCUAGGACCGCCGUAAUGAUUAAUAGGGAUAGUCGGGGGCGUCAGUAUUCAGCUGUCAGAGGUGAAAUUCUUGGAUUUGCUGAAGACUAACUACUGCGAAAGCAUUCGCCAAGGAUGUUUUCAUUAAUCAGGGAACGAAAGUUAGGGGAUCGAAGACGAUCAGAUACCGUCGUAGUCUUAACCAUAAACUAUGCCGACUAGGGAUCGGACGGUGUUUCUUUUAUGACCCGUUCGGCACCUUACGAGAAAUCAAAGU